Molecule: non-coding RNA, 190 nt
Organism: Podarcis lilfordi (Lilford's wall lizard)
Lineage: Eukaryota; Metazoa; Chordata; Lepidosauria; Squamata; Lacertidae
Source: the annotation of a GenBank genome assembly
CUUCCUGAUGUUGAGUCGGAAUUUCCUUUCCUAUAACUUGAAGCCAUUGGUUCAAGUCCAACCCUCCAGAGCUGGAGAAAACAAGCUUGCUCCCUCUUCCAUGUGACAGCUCUUGAGAUAUUUGAAGAUGGCUAUCAAAACUCCUCUCAGUCUCCUCUUUUCCAGGCUAAACAUACCCAGCUCCUUCAAC